RNAcentral lists this ribosomal RNA (253 nucleotides) under uncultured bacterium. RNAcentral's name for it is "partial 16S ribosomal RNA". It matches the Rfam family "Bacterial small subunit ribosomal RNA", at positions 524 to 776 of the family's 1533-position model. The record is from RNAcentral.
UACGUAGGUGGCAAGCGUUGUCCGGAAUGACUGGGUGUAAAGGGCGUGUAGGCGGGACUGCAAGUCAGAUGUGAAAUUCCCAGGCUCAACCUGGGGGCUGCAUCUGAAACUGUGGUUCUUGAGUGCUGGAGAGGAAAGCGGAAUUCCUAGUGUAGCGGUGAAAUGCGUAGAUAUUAGGAGGAACACCAGUGGCGAAGGCGGCUUUCUGGACAGUUACUCACGCUGAGGCGCGAAAGCGUGGGGAGCAAACAGG